RNAcentral lists this non-coding RNA (212 nucleotides) under Viridibacillus arenosi. RNAcentral describes it as "T-box sequence". It matches the Rfam family "T-box leader". Rfam says of the family: Uncharged tRNA acts as the effector for transcription antitermination of genes in the T-box leader family. T-boxes are found upstream of many aminoacyl-tRNA synthetase genes and some amino acid biosynthetic genes usually in Gram-positive bacteria. The record is from RNAcentral. Lineage: Bacteria; Bacillati; Bacillota; Bacilli; Caryophanales; Caryophanaceae.
CAGAACUCGUAGAUAAGGAUUAGUACUUAAGGAAUGCGCGGAUAGAGAGUCGGGUUAGGUGGAAACCGAUACGUAGCAACUGAUGGAAUGGACCUUUGAGUGACUGCUUGAAAGUUGAGUAUGGCAGUUCGAUUGGCGAAUCGUUAUAUCGCUUAUAGUGGUAGCGUUUUUUGCUGCAAUUGAGGUGGUACCGCGGAAUUUCCGCCCUCCAU